Molecule: ribosomal RNA, 372 nt
Filed under: Gluconobacter sp.
Lineage: Bacteria; Pseudomonadati; Pseudomonadota; Alphaproteobacteria; Acetobacterales; Acetobacteraceae
Description: bacterial SSU rRNA
Rfam family: Bacterial small subunit ribosomal RNA
Source: RNAcentral
UACGAAGGGGGCUAGCGUUGCUCGGAAUGACUGGGCGUAAAGGGCGCGUAGGCGGUUUAUGCAGUCAGAUGUGAAAUCCCCGGGCUUAACCUGGGAACUGCAUUUGAGACGCAUAGACUAGAGGUCGAGAGAGGGUUGUGGAAUUCCCAGUGUAGAGGUGAAAUUCGUAGAUAUUGGGAAGAACACCGGUGGCGAAGGCGGCAACCUGGCUCGAUACUGACGCUGAGGCGCGAAAGCGUGGGGAGCAAACAGGAUUAGAUACCCUGGUAGUCCACGCUGUAAACGAUGUGUGCUGGAUGUUGGGUAACUUAGUUACUCAGUGUCGAAGCUAACGCGCUAAGCACACCGCCGGGGAGUACGGCCGCAAGGUUG